Molecule: ribosomal RNA, 406 nt
Filed under: uncultured bacterium
Lineage: Bacteria
Description: partial 16S ribosomal RNA
Rfam family: Bacterial small subunit ribosomal RNA
Source: RNAcentral
AUUGAACGCUGGCGGCAGGCCUAACACAUGCAAGUCGAACGAGUGGCGGACGUGAGAGUAAUGUCUGGGACACUGCCUGAUGGAGGGGGAUAACUACUGGAAACGGUAGCUAAUACCGCAUACCAUCGGAUGUGCCCAGAUGGGAUUAGCUAGUAGGGGGGGUAAAGGCUCACCUAGGCGACGAUCCCUAGCUGGUCUGAGAGGAUGACCAGCCACACUGGAGCUGAGACACGGACCAGACUCCUACGGGAGGCAGCAGUGGGGAAUAUUGCACAAUGGGCGCAAGCCUGAUGCAGCCAUGCCGCGUGUAGGAAGAAGGCCUUCGGGUUGUAAAGUACUUUCAGCGGGGAGGCGUUACCCGCAGAAGAAGCACCGGCUAACUCCGUGCCAGCCGCCGCGGUAAUUC